Molecule: ribosomal RNA, 460 nt
Filed under: uncultured bacterium
Lineage: Bacteria
Description: partial 16S ribosomal RNA
Rfam family: Bacterial small subunit ribosomal RNA
Source: RNAcentral
CCUACGGGAGGCAGCAGUGAGGAAUAUUGGUCAAUGGACGAGAGUCUGAACCAGCCAAGUAGCGUGAAGGAUGACUGCCCUAUGGGUUGUAAACUUCUUUUAUCUGGGAAUAAAACGUUCCACGUGUGGGAUUUUGUAUGUACCAUAUGACUAAGGAUCGGCUAACUCCGUGCCAGCAGCCGCGGUAAUACGGAGGAUCCGAGCGUUAUCCGGAUUUAUUGGGUUUAAAGGGAGCGUAGGUGGAUUGUUAAGUCAGUUGUGAAAGUUUGCGGCUCAAACGUAAAAUUGCAGUUGAAACUGGCAGUCUUGAGUACAGUAGAGGUGGGCGGAAUUCGUGGUGUAGCGGUGAAAUGCUUAGAUAUCACGAAGAACUCCGAUUGCGAAGGCAGUUCACUGGACUGCAACUGACACUGAGGCUCGAAAGUGUGGGUAUCAAACAGGAUUAGAUACCCCUGUAGUC